Molecule: small nuclear RNA, 106 nt
Filed under: Meriones unguiculatus (Mongolian gerbil)
Lineage: Eukaryota; Metazoa; Chordata; Mammalia; Rodentia; Muridae
Source: RNAcentral
GUGCUCACUUCAACAUUUGCACUAAUAUUAGAAUAAUACAGAAAAAAAUUACCAUGGCCACUGCACAAAAAUGACAUGCAAAUUCAUAAAGUGGUUACAUAUUUUU